Armigeres subalbatus is the source of this 547-nucleotide long non-coding RNA. RefSeq lists it as uncharacterized. Lineage: Eukaryota; Metazoa; Arthropoda; Insecta; Diptera; Culicidae. The record is from RefSeq and is a predicted model, not a curated record. The transcript has 4 exons.
AGUGUCAGAAAGCGCAGAAAGCAGAAGCAAAAAAAAAACAAAUUAUUCAGUUGUCAACAAAACUUCACGCACAAACUUUGAACCCGGUGCCGGAGGUGCCUUGACUGCAGCAUUUUUUCAGAUUGCUGGAAAAUGUAGAAUCUCAGGAUAGAAAAGAUGUAUAGAACGCGCUACUAUUAAAGCGAUGGCCAACUUAUCGUACAACGGUAAACGGAAGAUUUUCUAAAGCUUUGACGAGUUAAAUUUGCACCACAUAACGCCGAAUGCGAUAUUGAUUGGCAGACAACUACUUGCAUUUACCGGUGACACAAUUUUGUUACGCGAAAACUACUUCAAGCUUACAUCGCUGGCCAUAUCCUUGAUCCUCGGAAGUCGUCGUCAUUGGAUGCGGAAAAGAUGUGGCACCCAUCAUCGACUGAUCGGGGGAUCUACCAGAAGAGAGCUGCCGGAAGGAGAAGCACUCGGUGAAUACAAGUACAUAUAAUGAAAUAACAAAUGCAUAAAUUCAAAUACGAAUGACUAUUAAAAUACAUAUCUCUAAAAUGUG